RNAcentral lists this non-coding RNA (240 nucleotides) under Sphingobium sp. EP60837. The record is from RNAcentral. RNAcentral also lists the same sequence under 1 other name. Lineage: Bacteria; Pseudomonadati; Pseudomonadota; Alphaproteobacteria; Sphingomonadales; Sphingobiaceae.
ACAUAAGAAGAUCGCGCCGGUGCCCAUUGGGCUUGAAAGGGAAUGCGGUGCGGAUAGCGUGGCUAUCCAAUUCCGCGGCUGUCCCUGCAACUGUAAGCGGCGAGCGCGAUGCACUGUGGAACCCGCCGUCUUCAAAGGGGAGGCGAUGGGGGCCAGCCACUGGGCCAGACGGCCCGGGAAGGCCGUGCAUCGCUGCCUUGACCCGCGAGCCAGGAGACCUGCCAGCGCAUGGUCGCUCUU